This 2323-nucleotide long non-coding RNA is filed under the name Oryza sativa (Asian cultivated rice). RNAcentral's name for it is "long non-coding RNA (OSAT_LNC001837)". The record is from RNAcentral. Lineage: Eukaryota; Viridiplantae; Streptophyta; Magnoliopsida; Poales; Poaceae.
GCUUGUUGAGUAUGUCAUAUGCUUAUUCUUGCAAUAAUCAAUCAACCUCAGUUGAAGAAAAAGGAUCCAGAAGGAGAAGACGUUUGGCUUAUACCCCAGUUGAGCUGCCUGUGGGAGUGGAGCUGAAGCCAUCGCUAGACCGUUAAUUCCGCUGCUGUUUUCUUUUCUUUUGUAAGUAUGUAACGUUAUUAUUAUGAUGGAUUUGUAUAUUAAAUUGUCAGUUUGUGUACCUCGGCUGAUUCCUGGACGAGGAUUUUAUGCACAAAUAAGUUCGGAAAUUACUAGUGAAUUUCCGGGCGUGACACGCCGUCACAGAAGAUCCUAGGCGCUAUCCUUCGUCCAUGUUGUGCUGCCCAACCAGGAACAGCCACGCGUCCCGCGCCGUCUCCUAGCCUCAGAACUUAUCUGCAUCCUCCUACUUUGCACCAAUAGCCAAUUGACAUGUUGUUGCCUCGAUCCCUUGCGUCGUAUGGCUCCAGCAUGAGUGCGUCCACAGGCGAGGCGAGACGCCUCUCCCGCACCCCCACUUUGUCGUGCGCCCAUCAAUCUGAGGCACUGCUGACGGUCGUUAUAGACAAAUUUUGACUGUCAAUAUACCCAGAAUAAAGGAGAAUUAGGAAUGCUUGCAUGCAUAUUUGUUUAAGAAUAAUCUAUUUCCGACAAUUUCCGAUCGCCACAACCAUCAUUGGCAGCCUAUUUAAGGACCUCACUCUCUCCAUUCCAAAGUGCACCAAGAAGGAUCAAAUCCAAGAAGCUCUCUAGUUUAUUUACAUUGUUCUAGUGCUAGUGGAGUAGGAUAGAAUAGUUUCUUUAGUUCUUCAAGUCUUCAGGAGAUUUUGGGUAUGUCUCUAGUAGCUUUUCCUUCUAUUUUAAGACACUCAUUAAUGAAAUAUUCUUCUUUAUAUAGUUUUGGUCUUAUACUUCACUCAUAUUAUUAUUCAGCUGCCGACUUUAAUUAGUUCAUAUUUAUCUUGUAAUAAUUAUGUAGCUAGCUUACUGGAAAUAUGCAAUGGUGUUGGUUUAAUGUUCAUUUAUAUGAUUGCUCUGUGUCAUUUGCAAAGAUGUAGAGUAGUAUUUAGUAAUGUAAGUGCUGUGCUUUUAUUAUUAGAUACCAUUAAAUGGUGUUAUAUGCCACGGGUCUAUAGAGGUAGGCCACUGAUGGGAGACUAGGACUUUCCCAAAAAGAAAAACAAUGCAAUGCCGUUUCAGGAAAAGAACGGAAACGGUCCCGCGAACUGACAUGGAUACGGUUCGUCAUGCAAAACAAAAUCGCGGACUGAGAGGGGAGUGAAUUGGGCACAAUUCAUGACCAAAGCAAAGGAAGAAAACUAUUAGCUUGACACUUUUACCUUAGCAACAUUGCCUCCGGUGAUCUGAUAUUUAAUCUCCGGUGACCUAAGUCAUGUUAGUGAUUUUCGGAGCAAAGAGAACUCGAAAAAAAAAUUAUCCCUGACAAUUCCAAUUAUUAAAUGUAUUAUUAGCUGGGGUUUUCUCCUGGUUAACCAAAGCAAAUUCUCGAGGCCAUUUAUUUGUGAUUUGGAACCUAAGGAAAGGGAAAACUCCGGGCGUGACAAUAGUUUAGCAAUAUGUCCUCUUUAGAUUAAUAUUGUGGCCAAGGAAAAUAUAGAGGUGUUUUAACAAAUGUUAGUGUUUCUUGAAUAUCUACGCUUGCUAUCUACAUUUUACUUCCACUAAGGCAACUAUGGAUGAUUUUUGUUUUGGAAUUAUAUGUGAUGACCAUUUCGUGCAAGUGAAAUAGAUUUAAACUUCGUGUUUUGCAGAGCACAUGAACUUCUACUGCACACAUGGAAGGAGCUAGUUGUAUACACCUCAUUGGUGAUGAUGUAAAUGCUAUUUUCAAUUGAUGGCCAUGACGGGUAUAUUUGAAGUAUUGUUGGUGAAGACAUCGAGUCCUUUUUAUACGAUUACUGUAGCUAACGUGGGAAACGUGUAUUGCACGUACACAAAUUACUAGUAUUUGUUAAGCUGGCAAUAUGUAUGUAUAUGAUAAGGCAAACUAAUACUGGUUGGUAGGUUUCAUCGCAUGCUCACUUUGCAAAAGUCCGUAACUUUACGGGCCCCUUUGAUUCAAAGGAUUGGCAAAAGGUUUCAUAGGAUUCAAAUUCCUAUGAAAUGUUUCUUACAAGACCCUUUAAUUCAUAGGAAAAAAAGAAGGAAACUAUAAAUGUAUUCAUAUGCUUCACUUUCAUAGAAAAAUAGCAAGAAGUAUGACCUAUUUGUAAAUUUCUUUUCUUUUUGUAUGGAACUAUCAAAGAGGCCAUGUCCUAUUUUUUGGUUAUUUAUAGUCCCAUAGGAUUAACGG